RNAcentral lists this small RNA (116 nucleotides) under Marmota monax (woodchuck). The record is from RNAcentral. Lineage: Eukaryota; Metazoa; Chordata; Mammalia; Rodentia; Sciuridae.
GCCAGGCACAGUGCUGCACACUUGUAAUCCCAGCACCUCGAAGGCCGAGGCAGGAGGACUGCUCAAGUCCAGGAGUUCAAGGCCAGCCUGGACACCAUAGCAAGACCCCAUCUCAA